Molecule: ribosomal RNA, 420 nt
Filed under: uncultured bacterium
Lineage: Bacteria
Description: bacterial SSU rRNA
Rfam family: Bacterial small subunit ribosomal RNA
Source: RNAcentral
AGGGAAUAUUGGACAAUGGGCGCAAGCCUGACCCAGCCAUCCCGCGUGAAGGAUGAAGGUCCUCUGGAUUGUAAACUUCUUUUCUUCGGGAAUAAAAACUGGGGUUCUCCUCAGCUUGAAGGUACCGAAGGAAUAAGCACCGGCUAACUCCGUGCCAGCAGCCGUGGUAAUACGGAGGGUGCAAGCGUUAUCCGGAUUCACUGGGUUUAAAGGGUGCGUAGGUGGCUUUGUAAGUCAGUGGUGAAAGCUCGGAGCUCAACUCCGAAACUGCCAUUGAUACUGCUUAGCUUGAAUCAGGUCGAGGUGGAUGGAAUGUGACAUGUAGCGGUGAAAUGCUUAGAUAUGUUACAGAACACCGAUUGCGAAGGCAGUUCACCAGCCCUGUAUUGACACUGAGGCACGAAAGCGUGGGGAUCAAAC